GAUGAAUAACGCAGCGAAAUGCGAUAAGUAAUGUGAAUUGCAGAAUUCCGUGAAUCAUCGAAUCUUUGAACGCACAUUGCGCCCUCUGGUAUUCCGGGGGGCAUGCCUGUCCGAGCGUCAUUUGCAACCCUCAAGCCCGGCUUGUGUGAUGGGUGCCGUCCCCUACGGGACGCGCCCCGAAGGCAAUGGCGGCGUCGCGGUUAUCCGAUCAGCCAAAGUGUAUGGGGCUUUGUCACUCACUUUACGGCCCGGACCGGCGCCAGUCCGAAUCAAUCUUUUUUCUAAAGUUGACCUCGGAUCAGGUAGGGAUACCCGCUGAACUUAAGCAUAUCAAUAAGCGGAGGA
RNAcentral lists this unclassified non-coding RNA (345 nucleotides) under soil metagenome. RNAcentral's name for it is "partial contains 5.8S ribosomal RNA, internal transcribed spacer 2, and large subunit ribosomal RNA". The stretch from base 1 to 120 matches the Rfam family "5.8S ribosomal RNA", at positions 35 to 154 of the family's 154-position model. The record is from RNAcentral.